This 207-nucleotide ribosomal RNA is filed under the name uncultured bacterium. RNAcentral's name for it is "partial 16S ribosomal RNA". It matches the Rfam family "Bacterial small subunit ribosomal RNA", at positions 568 to 774 of the family's 1533-position model. The record is from RNAcentral.
CACGUAGGCGGACCCGAAAGUUGGAGGUGAAAUCCCAGGGCUCAACCUUGGAACUGCCUUCAAAACUAUCGGUCUGGAGUUCGAGAGAGGUGAGUGGAAUUCCGAGUGUAGAGGUGAAAUUCGUAGAUAUUCGGAGGAACACCAGUGGCGAAGGCGGCUCACUGGCUCGAUACUGACGCUGAGGUGCGAAAGCGUGGGGAGCAAACA